ACCACAUCCCUGGGGCAACAUAUACCAGGGUAUCACAUCCCAGAGUAUCACAUCCCUGGGAUACCACAUCCCAGGGUGCCGCAUCCCCAGGGUGCCAUAUCCCCAGGGUACCGCAUCCCUGGGGUACCACAUCCCUGGGGCACCACAUCCCUGGGGCAACAUAUACCAGGGUAUCACAUCCCAGAGUAUCACAUCCCUGGGAUACCACAUCCCAGGGCGCCGCAUCCCCAGGGUGCCAAAUCCCCGGGGUACCACAUCCCAGGGGUGCCACAUCCCUGGGGCACCACAUCCCUGGGGCAACAUAUACCAGGGUAUCACAUCCCAGAGUAUCACAUCCCUGGGGCAACAUAUACCAGGGUAUCACAUCCCAGAGUAUCACGUCCCUGGGAUACCACAUCCCAGGGUGCCACACCCCCGGGGUACCAUAUCCCAGGGUGCCACAUCCCCACAGCACCACAUCCCUGGGGCACCACAUCCCCAGGGUACCAUUUCCCCGGGGU
Molecule: long non-coding RNA, 500 nt
Organism: Falco peregrinus (peregrine falcon)
Lineage: Eukaryota; Metazoa; Chordata; Aves; Falconiformes; Falconidae
Exons: 3
Source: RefSeq, a predicted model, not a curated record